This is a small nucleolar RNA of Equus asinus (donkey), 81 nucleotides long. Its record names the gene SNORD115. It matches the Rfam family "Small nucleolar RNA SNORD115". From Rfam's summary of the family: HBII-52 is a member of the C/D class of snoRNAs, which contain the C (UGAUGA) and D (CUGA) box motifs. HBII-52 is encoded in a tandemly repeated array with another C/D snoRNA, HBII-85, in the Prader-Willi syndrome (PWS) region of chromosome 15. The record is from Ensembl. NCBI's taxonomy places the organism in Eukaryota, Metazoa, Chordata, Mammalia, Perissodactyla, Equidae.
AGAUCAAUCAUGAGAAUUUAUAUUGCCUUGAACAGAGAUGAUGACAUAAAAAUUGUGCUCAAUAGGAUUAUGUGGAGGCCC